RNAcentral lists this ribosomal RNA (538 nucleotides) under uncultured bacterium. Its description in RNAcentral is "partial 16S ribosomal RNA". It matches the Rfam family "Bacterial small subunit ribosomal RNA", at positions 355 to 883 of the family's 1533-position model. The record is from RNAcentral.
UGGGGAAUUUUGGACAAUGGGCGAAAGCCUGAUCCAGCAAUGCCGCGUGUGUGAAGAAGGCCUUCGGGUUGUAAAGCACUUUUGUCCGGAAAGAAAUCCUUGGCUCUAAUACAGUCGGGGGAUGACGGUACCGGAAGAAUAAGCACCGGCUAACUACGUGCCAGCAGCCGCGGUAAUACGUAGGGUGCAAGCGUUAAUCGGAAUUACUGGGCGUAAAGCGUGCGCAGGCGGUUUGCUAAGACCGAUGUGAAAUCCCCGGGCUCAACCUGGGAACUGCAUUGGUGACUGGCAGGCUAGAGUAUGGCAGAGGGGGGUAGAAUCCCACGUGUAGCAGUGAAAUGCGUAGAGAUGUGGAGGAAUACCGAUGGCGAAGGCAGCCCCCUGGGCCAAAUACUGACGCUCAUGCACGAAAAGCGUGGGGAGCAAACAGGAUUAGAUACCCUGGUAGUCCACGCCCUAAACGAUGUCAACUAGUUGUUGGGGAUUCAUUUCCUUAGUAACGUAGCUAACGCGUGAAGUUGACCGCCUGGGGGAGUAC